RNAcentral lists this long non-coding RNA (254 nucleotides) under Theobroma cacao (cacao). RNAcentral's name for it is "long non-coding RNA (TCAC_LNC004409)". Lineage: Eukaryota; Viridiplantae; Streptophyta; Magnoliopsida; Malvales; Malvaceae. The record is from RNAcentral.
GACUGUACCUGCGGACUGAAAAUAGGAGUAUUUCUACUCCUAAUACCGGUGAGUGGACUUGCAUUUCAAACUUGUUUUGGGGAAUAUGAAAGAUUCUAUCCAACUUGUCUUAGAAAAUGUACCUUGGGAACAAGCUUUUAGUAAAAUAAUUUUAUAUUGUGAAAAUGUGUUAUACAAUGGUUUAUGUGUUAUCACAAUAUGAUAAAAUGCAUGAUAUGCAUUGGAUGCUUCUUUACAUGUUGAUUUGGACCCGG